This 30-nucleotide non-coding RNA is filed under the name Rattus norvegicus (Norway rat). Lineage: Eukaryota; Metazoa; Chordata; Mammalia; Rodentia; Muridae. The record is from RNAcentral.
UCAGACACUACUCUAGGUGAACACUCCUCU